Molecule: long non-coding RNA, 247 nt
Filed under: Erythranthe guttata (spotted monkey flower)
Lineage: Eukaryota; Viridiplantae; Streptophyta; Magnoliopsida; Lamiales; Phrymaceae
Description: long non-coding RNA (EGUT_LNC000634)
Source: RNAcentral
CUUCCAAGUUCUGCAAGCAGGGCCCAAUCUCCGUAAUGGCUACAAGUGGCUGUAAAUGCACAGUGGCAAGUGUUUGGAUAGUAAAACACGAAUGAAUUUAUUAUACCGAAAAACUUAUUGGAAAUUUCAUCGUCGCUAAUUGAAGACAACACCCUUAGAAGAGGCUUCCAAAAACGAAAAUUAACAAAUUUUUAUUGAAAUUAAAUAAAUAUGAGGAGGCAAACAUUAAGUAAUAAUUGUGGAGGAG